GGUUUCCUACGCAACGUUCAUCGGCGUAGGGUGAGUCGGCCCCUAAGGCGAGGCAGAGAUGCGUAGCUGAUGGGAAACAGGUCAAUAUUCCUGUACCGAUCAAUAGUGCGAUGUGGGGACGGAGAAGGUUAGCUCAGCCGGGUGUUGGAUGUCCCGGUUCAAGCCUGUAGUCGUGCCUGGUAGGCAAAUCCGCCGGGCUUAGAUGAGGGGUGAUAACGAGGAGGCUUGCCUCCGAAGUGAGUGAUACC
This 248-nucleotide ribosomal RNA is filed under the name Klebsiella pneumoniae. RNAcentral describes it as "partial 23S ribosomal RNA". It matches the Rfam family "Bacterial large subunit ribosomal RNA", at positions 1349 to 1601 of the family's 2925-position model. The record is from RNAcentral. Lineage: Bacteria; Pseudomonadati; Pseudomonadota; Gammaproteobacteria; Enterobacterales; Enterobacteriaceae.